Rhopalosiphum padi (bird cherry-oat aphid) is the source of this 1505-nucleotide long non-coding RNA. RefSeq lists it as uncharacterized. The transcript has 10 exons. The record is from RefSeq and is a predicted model, not a curated record. Lineage: Eukaryota; Metazoa; Arthropoda; Insecta; Hemiptera; Aphididae.
UAUUUAACUUACAAUUUUUUUUUUUUAGGAUGGCAGUACAGCAGAUCAUUCAAUACAUGCUGAGACAUGAAUUCACAUUUCUACCACUAUGCUAAAUAUCAACAUCCUACGUUGAAAAUGUACUAGACGAUACUGCUAAUAAUAAUGGUUUUGUGCAACGUGAGUGUAAUGGAUGGCAGUACAGCAGAUCACUCAAUACAUGCUGAGACAUGAAUUCACAUUUCUACCACUAUGCAAAAUAUCAACAUCCUACGUUGAAAAUGUACUAGACGAUACUGCUAAUAAUAAGGGUUUUGUGCAACGUGCGUGUAAUGGAUGGCAGUACAGCAGAUCACUCAAUACAUGCUGAGACAUGAAUUCACAUUUCUACCACUAUGCAAAAUAUCAACAUCCUACGUUGAAAAUGUACUAGACGAUACUGCUAAUAAUAAGGGUUUUGUGCAACGUGCGUGUAAUGGAUGGCAGUACAGCAGAUCACUCAAUACAUGCUGAGACAUGAAUUCACAUUUCUACCACUAUGCAAAAUAUCAACAUCCUACGUUGAAAAUGUACUAGACGAUACUGCUAAUAAUAAGGGUUUUGUGCAACGUGCGUGUAAUGGAUGGCAGUACAGCAGAUCACUCAAUACAUGCUGAGACAUGAAUUCACAUUUCUACCACUAUGCAAAAUAUCAACAUCCUACGUUGAAAAUGUACUAGACGAUACUGCUAAUAAUAAGGGUUUUGUGCAACGUGCGUGUAAUGGAUGGCAGUACAGCAGAUCACUCAAUACAUGCUGAGACAUGAAUUCACAUUUCUACCACUAUGCAAAAUAUCAACAUCCUACGUUGAAAAUGUACUAGACGAUACUGCUAAUAAUAAGGGUUUUGUGCAACGUGCGUGUAAUGGAUGGCAGUACAGCAGAUCAUUCAAUACAUGCUGAGACAUGAAUUCACAUUUCUACCACUAUGCUAAAUAUCAACAUCCUACGUUGAAAAUGUACUAGACGAUACUGCUAAUAAUAAUGGUUUUGUGCAACGUGAGUGUAAUGGAUGGCAGUACAGCAGAUCACUCAAUACAUGCUGAGACAUGAAUUCACAUUUCUACCACUAUGCAAAAUAUCAACAUCCUACGUUGAAAAUGUACUAGACGAUACUGCUAAUAAUAAGGGUUUUGUGCAACGUGCGUGUAAUGGAUGGCAGUACAGCAGAUCACUCGAGGCAUGCUGAGACCAUGAAUUCACAUUUCUAUCACUUGGGAAAGUUACAACAUCUUCCGUUGUAAAUGGAAUAGAAGAUGGCAGUAUAUCAGAUCAAUCAAGGCACGCUGAGACACGAAUUCACAUUUCUACCACCAAGGAAAGUAUCAACAUCCUAUGUUGAAAAUGGACUAGAAGAUACUGAUAAUAAUAUUGGAUUUAUGCAAUGUGCGUGCAAUGGUUAUUGAAUAUAAUUGAUACUAAAUUAAUACCUGUGAAACAAUUGAGAUUUGUUAAAUAUCUGAAUAAAAUAAUAGUAAACACCUUUA